UACGGGGGGAGCAAGCGUUGUUCGGAUUUACUGGGCGUAAAGGGCGCGUAGGCGGUCAGCACAAGUCAGUUGUGAAAUCUCCGGGCUUAACCCGGAAAGGUCAACUGAUACUGUGCGACUAGAGUGCGGAAGGGGCAACUGGAAUUCUCGGUGUAGCGGUGAAAUGCGUAGAUAUCGAGAGGAACACCUGCGGCGAAGGCGGGUUGCUGGGCCGACACUGACGCUGAUGCGCGAGAGCCAGGGGAGCGAACGGG
Molecule: ribosomal RNA, 254 nt
Filed under: uncultured bacterium
Lineage: Bacteria
Description: partial 16S ribosomal RNA
Rfam family: Bacterial small subunit ribosomal RNA
Source: RNAcentral